This is a long non-coding RNA of Cygnus olor (mute swan), 1073 nucleotides long. RefSeq lists it as uncharacterized. The transcript is spliced from 4 exons. NCBI's taxonomy places the organism in Eukaryota, Metazoa, Chordata, Aves, Anseriformes, Anatidae. The record is from RefSeq and is a predicted model, not a curated record.
GCGAAUUUCACAAUGACAAGUGGAAAAAGUCGCCGAUUCCCCCAGCGCUGCCAUAAGGAGACGUUACAGAUAGAGAACACUGCAUCCUCUGUUCCUGACGAACGGGCAGCUUGCUACCCGAAGGCACUGGUCCGAGCAAGCGCCAAGAAGCCUGUGCAUAUGCAAACCAGCUACUGAUGGAGUAGGAUUUAAAAAGUCUGCAGAGAGAUUUGUUGGUGGGGGGGAAGGAAGCAGAAGGAGCUGUGGGAGAAAGCCUGCCACCAUUUUUCCCCCACUUCAAAGUUAAAAUGAGAGGUCUGAUGCCAUUUCCAGGUCUGAUGCCAAGGUGCUGAGCACAAGUGAGCGGUGACUUUUUUGGGGUGAGGAUCCGAGGUCCCUUCACCUCCUGCAAGACUGGAGGUUGUCAUUGCUGAAAGGGGAAUGCAGAAUUGUCUGAUGGGGGUACAAUGGGUACAGCUCUCCCCCAUCUCAGCGCCCCAAGUGUGGGACUACACAGCUGAUGUUGAUGUGCUUUCCUCACCUUGGCUCUCCUGGGAGCCCCUCCUGCCUUACUCAGCUCCCACUCCACCACCAAGCCACGUAACGCAUAAAAAAGAAGUCUUCAUGAUGCACAAAGCAGAGGAAAUCACGGGGAAAGACUCUGCAAAGCAUGCUUUUUUUAUUAGAGGUCAAGAAUUUCACGACCUAGUGGAAGUCAUGAACAAUACAGGACCAGGCAUUUGUAAUAGUUGGUGCCUGCUCUGUAUAGCUGCUGCUGCUUCUAAUAUCCCCAGAUAAAUUCUUCUGUGACUAAUCUCUUGGAAAGAAAAACAUAAAGAAGCUGUCACAUGAAACGAGAUGAUUUUGAUGUUUGUUUUGUGUUUAUAAACAUAAAUUCUGCCUCUUGGGCUGUGUAAUAUGCUUUAUCUAAAACCCUGUUAGUCUCUGGCUAGGAAAAUAUUUGUUCGCUUUCUGUCCUUGUCCCAUCCCUCCAUACUCCUCCAAAAGCCAGCCAAGAUGUCCUUAUCCUUCCUUUUGGACUCAGGCAAACAUCUGCAUGUUUUGCUGGAGAUCUGGAGGUACAAAGUCUUAAA